Molecule: ribosomal RNA, 253 nt
Filed under: uncultured bacterium
Lineage: Bacteria
Description: partial 16S ribosomal RNA
Rfam family: Bacterial small subunit ribosomal RNA
Source: RNAcentral
UACGGAGGGCGCGAGCGUUAAUCGGAAUUACUGGGCGUAUAGCGCGCGUAGGCUGUUGUGUAAGUUGGGGGUGAAAUCCCACGGCUCAACCGUGGAACAGCCCUUGAUACUGCGCGACUUGAAUCCGGGAGAGGGUGGCGGAAUUCCAGGUGUAGGAGUGAAAUCCGUAGAUAUCUGGAGGAACAUCAGUGGCGAAGGCGGCCACCUGGACCGGUAUCGACGCUGAGGCGCGAAAGCGUGGGGAGCAAACAGG